UACGGGGGGGGCAAGCGUUGUUCGGAAUUACUGGGCGUAAAGGGCUUGUAGGCGGCCAACUAAGUCAGACGUGAAAUCCCUCAGCUUAACUGGGGAACUGCGUCUGAGACUGAUUGGCUCGAGGACAGGAGAGGAACGCGGAAUUCCAGGUGUAGCGGUGAAAUGCGUAGAUAUCUGGAGGAACACCGGUGGCGAAGGCGGCGUUCUGGACUGUUUCUGACACUGAAUAACGAAAGCCAGGGGAGCAAACGGG
This 253-nucleotide ribosomal RNA is filed under the name uncultured bacterium. RNAcentral's name for it is "partial 16S ribosomal RNA". It matches the Rfam family "Bacterial small subunit ribosomal RNA", at positions 524 to 776 of the family's 1533-position model. The record is from RNAcentral.